GCAGCAUCCCUUUUAAAGACAUCGCUGGGCACAAAGGCGGUCUCCCAGAGCAGGAUCCUAGGCUGAAACGAAACUUUCUUGGAAUAAGUAAAUAGCAAGGGUUUGUAGCCUGUUACUCCAGCAGAGCUCAUCCUCAUUUGCUCAUCCUGCUGCAGUUUGCAGUGUGUGACCAGAUACGGGAGAUGUCAGCCAGUAGGUUGUGGCAGCCUGUCAGAAGUGACUGGAGACCUUUGUUGGAUGAAUAAAGCCUAUCCACUCCCUGUCCAACCUGACAACAACAACACAGAAGGCAUGGGGCACCCAGUCACAGUCCUGCUGCUCAUCUUUCAAACUGCAGGAGAUGAAUAGCAAUGUCACCCCAGGACACACCACCCUGGAGGCACUGCCAGGAGAGUCAUGGCAACAUCUCAGCAGGUGGUUUUCAGAAAUCCUCAGACCAAAGCAAACACUGCCACAGAAAAAUGUUGCAAUUCAACCCAGUUUUGAGGGAAGUGCCCCUGAUAACUUCUCAGCUCCAAAGAGAAGCAGUGGAGGCUGGGGCCACCGAGUCUCCAUGGAAAUCACAGAGGGUCUCACCGAGUCCAACCCAAAGGAGAGGAGCGGGUUUGAGCUGUGUUUGCAUAUCUGGCCAGGAAGAGAGGACUCAUGUCUGCCACAAAGGUCUCAGUGUGGUUUGUGCUGAAGUGGGAUCCCACAUCUGGGAUCUACCCAAGAGCUACAUCAUCCUCUCUUAGAGAUAGGAAAGCUUCAUAAAGGGAAGACUUUGAAUCAGGAGUCCGCUGUGCAUUGCAACAUUUAUUGCCAUGAUUCACAUACCUCCAGUGUUACUGCAAAUCCGGGCAAAGUGUGAAAUGAUUCUCUCUCUUAUCUUUGAGGAAAUGCAACAUGCUCCAACCAUGCUGACUCUGAAAGUCAGCUCUACCCUGCUUUGGGCCACAGAAAUUGUCAGGAUUUUUGAAAAAGCUCAACAAACCUCAACACCACAGUCGCGCCAAUUAUUUUUGAAGUGAUUUGGGAACAACUCAGGGUUUUUUCUUUUCACCUUUUGCAGCUACAUAGACACCCUUGGAGUUCUGCAGGUACAUACCAACUUAUGAAGGAGCUGGAGGCACUAAGAGAGCUGGAACAUGAUGAAUAACUGUCAAAUUACAGGGAACACUUUAAAAUGUCUUAAACCUCUCCCCUGCCCUGCUUCAUCGUGGCAACUAGGACAUGAGCCUUUAGCUAGGCUGUCUUUCCCCGAGGCUGUCCCUUCACUUGGGACAGGAGAUGAUCUGAAACCAUGGGCAAGGGGUUCAGAAUCUUCAUGACAAAAUCAUGGUAUGGAAUAGAAAGAGAGACUGGGUGAGCUGCAGCACAGGGGAUCAUGCAUGUGCCAGCACCAGAGUCUUCAGACUUUGAUCAUACCCACAGCUUGACUGCCAGAUAAACCACCUGCUUUUGUUUGCACAAUUGCAAAAUGGCUCUGCAGCAUCUCUAGCAAUUGCUCAGAGAAGAAAGAAAUACUUUUCUUGCAUUCUUAGCAUAGCAGGUGUUUUUAGAAAUUAAAGGAUUAAAGAGAUGAAUUCUGCAUUUUAUUUUGGCCCUUUGCAAUAUCCCUGCUCUGUGUCUGAAAUGUUUUCUUCUCCAAAGAGACAAGCAGAAGUAGUCAGCUCUUUACAGACAGUGUUUUUAGGUUUAUCAAUGUUAAGGUUGUUUUCUUGUACACAUUUCAGUACUGUUUUUUGUUUUACAUAGCUGGGGGUACUUUGUUGCCCUGCUGUAUUUAGCAGAAAAACUUAAGAAGUUUGUUUCUCACUCCUGUUUGCCAUGGAGGCCUCAAUCCCAGAGAAAAUUGUAAAAGCAACUCAGUUAAUCAAAGGUUAAACAAAAUGAAGGAAGUUUGUAUGGUGCCCUGAAGGUUAUUAGACUCAAGGUCUGAGCAGCUGCCAAGGGGAGUGAGUUCCAGGGCAGGAGCAUUCAUCUGAGAAAUUCCAGUUGCUGGACGUGGAGGGGUUGAACCUGGGAUCUGCAGGCGCCUCCCAGCUGAGCUCGGCUGCCACGGCUGCCAUGUGGGGAAGGACCUGUGUCCCCUCCCACGCUCCUGGUCCAGAGUGCAAAUGGAUGGGAAGGCACAACCCACUCUGUGGGAGGGCAAUGGGGACUUGUCAAUUGUUCCAGAUGCCUGGCUGCUUCCAUUACCAGCUGUGGUGUGAGCAGGGAGCUCUAAAAUCCAAAGACAGGCAAUUCCUGGGGGUCAGGGCUGAUAAAAGGGCUCAUGGAGCCUGCUACAAGGCACGUCUGGAAGUGGCACGGAGUCAAGAGGUGCAGCAAGCAAUGCAGCGUGACCAGUGGUCAGUUUGUGUCCUCUGAGCUGCUCUCCAUCCACGAAUGUCUUUGCCUCCCUAUCAGAGUGAUGCUCUGGAGUGGCAGCUGGUUUAUCUUCCACUUCAGCCCAAUGUGGAGGUGGAAUUGAAAUCACAGGGUAUGGAUGCAAGAUGGAAACAGGCAAAGUGUUGUCACAUCCUUUCAACUUCCAAGUGUCUUCCAAGUGCCUCUUUCUGUGAUAUAGAAGAAUUUUGACUAAAUAAAGUCAUUAAGUAAAAACUAUAAAAGCAAAUAGACAUGUAUCUGGGUAUACCUACACUCUUAUUUGUGAAUGUUAAACAGAAUGUUAAACCUUCCUAUACAUCAGUUUGUGUAUCUGUGCAGCAGUCUUGAUAUUUUAUUCCUCAUCUGUGCCAUAAUUGCAGGAGUCCUUCAUGCCAAUGUAGACACUGAUCUCACUGUAUGUCAGAAUUAUAAAAUAUAUGUGAGAGCUGGAAUAAUAAGAAUGUGUGUUUUCUGAAAAAGUAGAAGGUUUCUGGAGGAGAAGUUUUCCCAAAGGGAGCUAAGUUUACAGAUCUAACUCAUUCAGGCCUUUUUCCUUCUGAAGUUGACGCACACAUGCACAAACACACAGGCUCCAGUAUCUAUUUCAUGGACACAUUCUUCCCAUCUCACUGUGUAAAGGUCUUGAAAGCAAUAGCUACUGGCAGUACCCCAAUUCAACAUAUCUAAUAGGUCCUUCCCAGUUUCAAAAUCACUAAGGACACACAUGGCCAAAGGAAAGCAGGGCUUAAACUACCUUGCUGUCAGAAGCAAUGGAACUAGCUGCCUGUCCUUGUGGGCUUGAUUUGUGGGUUCUUUGUUUUUAUAGUCUUGGUUUGCUGACUGCAUCUCAAGAAUUGUGUUGCUAGAGCAACUUAGUUAAUCUAACUCCUGGAAGCAACUCCAACUCCAACUGUUGAA
Long non-coding RNA from Zonotrichia albicollis (white-throated sparrow), 3270 nucleotides. RefSeq lists it as uncharacterized. The record is from RefSeq and is a predicted model, not a curated record. Lineage: Eukaryota; Metazoa; Chordata; Aves; Passeriformes; Passerellidae.